GCUAAUGUAGCUCAGUCGGUAGAGCAGCUGAUUCGUAAUCAGCAGGUCAGCGGUUCAAAUCCGCUCAUUAGCUCCA
This 76-nucleotide transfer RNA is filed under the name Oscillospiraceae bacterium. RNAcentral describes it as "tRNA-Thr". It matches the Rfam family "tRNA". Rfam says of the family: Transfer RNA (tRNA) molecules are approximately 80 nucleotides in length. Their secondary structure includes four short double-helical elements and three loops (D, anti-codon, and T loops). Further hydrogen bonds mediate the characteristic L-shaped molecular structure. tRNAs have two regions of fundamental functional importance: the anti-codon, which is responsible for specific mRNA codon recognition, and the 3' end, to which the tRNAs corresponding amino acid is attached (by aminoacyl-tRNA synthetases). tRNAs cope with the degeneracy of the genetic code in two manners: having more than one tRNA (with a specific anti-codon) for a particular amino acid; and 'wobble' base-pairing, i.e. permitting non-standard base-pairing at the 3rd anti-codon position. The record is from RNAcentral. Lineage: Bacteria; Bacillati; Bacillota; Clostridia; Eubacteriales; Oscillospiraceae.